RNAcentral lists this ribosomal RNA (216 nucleotides) under Streptomyces sp. NRRL F-4707. RNAcentral describes it as "partial 23S ribosomal RNA". It matches the Rfam family "Bacterial large subunit ribosomal RNA", at positions 485 to 689 of the family's 2925-position model. Lineage: Bacteria; Bacillati; Actinomycetota; Actinomycetes; Kitasatosporales; Streptomycetaceae. RNAcentral also lists the same sequence under 1 other name. The record is from RNAcentral.
CGAUAGCGGAUAGUACCGUGAGGGAAUGGUGAAAAGUACCGCGGGAGCGGAGUGAAAUAGUACCUGAAACCGUGUGCCUACAAGCCGUGGGAGCGUCGGGGUGGAGCUUGCUCCAUCCUCGUGACUGCGUGCCUUUUGAAGAAUGAGCCUGCGAGUUUGCGGUGUGUUGCGAGGUUAACCCGGGUGGGGAAGCCGUAGCGAAAGCGAGUCCGAACA